GUAAGCUACUAAGAGCGAAUGGUGGAUGCCUUGACUGGUAAAGGCGAUGAAGGACGUACUAGACUGCGAUAAGCUACGGGGAGCUGUCAAGAAGCUUUGAUCCGUAGAUUUCCGAAUGGGGCAACCCAAUGUAUAGAGAUAUACAUUACCUAUAUAGGAGCGAACGAGGGGAAUUGAAACAUCUUAGUACCCUCAGGAAAAGAAAUCAAUAGAGAUUGCGUCAGUAGCGGCGAGCGAAAGCGCAAGAGGGCAAACCCAGUGCUUGCACUGGGGGUUGUAGGACUGCAAUGUGCAAGAGGUAAGUUUAGCAGAACAUUCUGGAAAGUAUAACCAUAGAGGGUGAUAGUCCCGUAUGCGAAAAACAAACCUUAGCUAGCAGUAUCCUGAGUAGGGCGGGACACGAGGAAUCCUGUCUGAAUCCGGGUCGACCACGAUCCAACCCUAAAUACUAAUACCAGAUCGAUAGUGCACAAGUACCGUGAGGGAAAGGUGAAAAGAACUGAGGUGAUCAGAGUGAAAUAGAACCUGAAACCAUUUGCUUACAAUCAUUCAGAGCCCUAUGUAGCAAUACAGGGUGAUGGACUGCCUUUUGCAUAAUGAGCCUGCGAGUUGUGGUGUCUGGCAAGGUUAAGCAAACGCGAAGCCGUAGCGAAAGCGAGUCUGAAUAGGGCGCUUAGUCAGAUGCUGCAGACCCGAAACGAAGUGAUCUAUCCAUGAGCAAGUUGAAGCUAGUGUAAGAACUAGUGGAGGACUGAACCCAUAGGCGUUGAAAAGCCCCGGGAUGACUUGUGGAUAGGGGUGAAAGGCCAAUCAAACUUCGUGAUAGCUGGUUCUCUCCGAAAUAUAUUUAGGUAUAGCGUUGUGUCGUAAUAUAAGGGGGUAGAGCACUGAAUGGGCUAGGGCAUACACCAAUGUACCAAACCCUAUCAAACUCCGAAUACCUUAUAUGUAAUCACAGCAGUCAGGCGGCGAGUGAUAAAAUCCGUCGUCAAGAGGGAAACAACCCAGACUACCAGCUAAGGUCCCUAAAUCUUACUUAAGUGGAAAACGAUGUGAAGUUACUUAAACAACCAGGAGGUUGGCUUAGAAGCAGCCAUCCUUUAAAGAAAGCGUAAUAGCUCACUGGUCUAGUGAUUUUGCGCGGAAAAUAUAACGGGGCUAAAGUAAGUACCGAAGCUGUAGACUUGCACACAACUUAGAUUAUUUAAGUUUAGAAUAUGAGAAACUAAGUUAUAUGUUUAGUUAUAUUUUUACUGAUUUUUAUAGAGUAAAGAUAGAAAUAAAACUUAGUAAAAUCAGUAAAAAUAUUCUUAGACUAAAGUUAAGUAGUUUAAGUUGUGUGCAAGUGGUAGGAGAGCGUUCUAUUUGCGUCGAAGGUAUACCGGUAAGGAGUGCUGGAGCGAAUAGAAGUGAGCAUGCAGGCAUGAGUAGCGAUAAUUAAUGUGAGAAUCAUUAACGCCGUAAACCCAAGGUUUCCUACGCGAUGCUCGUCAUCGUAGGGUUAGUCGGGUCCUAAGUCGAGUCCGAAAGGGGUAGACGAUGGCAAAUUGGUUAAUAUUCCAAUACCAACAUUAGUGUGCGAUGGAAGGACGCUUAGGGCUAAGGGGGCUAGCGGAUGGAAGUGCUAGUCUAAGGUCGUAGGAGGUUAUACAGGCAAAUCCGUAUAACAAUACUCCGAGAACUGAAAGGCUUUUUGAAGUCUUCGGAUGGAUAGAAGAACCCCUGAUGCCGUCGAGCCAAGAAAAGUUUCUAAGUUUAGCUAAUGUUGCCCGUACCGUAAACCGACACAGGUGGGUGGGAUGAGUAUUCUAAGGCGCGUGGAAGAACUCUCUUUAAGGAACUCUGCAAAAUAGCACCGUAUCUUCGGUAUAAGGUGUGGUUAGCUUUGUAUUAGGAUUUACUCCGAAAGCAAGGAAACUUACAACAAAGAGUCCCUCCCGACUGUUUACCAAAAACACAGCACUCUGCUAACUCGUAAGAGGAUGUAUAGGGUGUGACGCCUGCCCGGUGCUCGAAGGUUAAUUGAUGGGGUUAGCAUUAGCGAAGCUCUUGAUCGAAGCCCGAGUAAACGGCGGCCGUAACUAUAACGGUCCUAAGGUAGCGAAAUUCCUUGUCGGUUAAAUACCGACCUGCAUGAAUGGCGUAACGAGAUGGGAGCUGUCUCAAAGAGGGAUCCAGUGAAAUUGUAGUGGAGGUGAAAAUUCCUCCUACCCGCGGCAAGACGGAAAGACCCCGUGGACCUUUACUACAGCUUGACACUGCUACUUGGAUAAGAAUGUGCAGGAUAGGUGGGAGGCUUUGAGUAUAUGACGCCAGUUGUAUAUGAGCCAUUGUUGAGAUACCACUCUUUCUUAUUUGGGUAGCUAACCAGCUUGAGUUAUCCUCAAGUGGGACAAUGUCUGGUGGGUAGUUUGACUGGGGCGGUCGCCUCCCAAAUAAUAACGGAGGCUUACAAAGGUUGGCUCAGAACGGUUGGAAAUCGUUCGUAGAGUAUAAAGGUAUAAGCCAGCUUAACUGCAAGACAUACAAGUCAAGCAGAGACGAAAGUCGGUCUUAGUGAUCCGGUGGUUCUGUGUGGAAGGGCCAUCGCUCAAAGGAUAAAAGGUACCCCGGGGAUAACAGGCUGAUCUCCCCCAAGAGCUCACAUCGACGGGGAGGUUUGGCACCUCGAUGUCGGCUCAUCGCAUCCUGGGGCUGGAGCAGGUCCCAAGGGUAUGGCUGUUCGCCAUUUAAAGCGGUACGCGAGCUGGGUUCAGAACGUCGUGAGACAGUUCGGUCCCUAUCUGCCGUGGGCGUAAGAAGAUUGAAGAGAUUUGACCCUAGUACGAGAGGACCGGGUUGAACAAACCACUGGUGUAGCUGUUGUUCUGCCAAGAGCAUCGCAGCGUAGCUAAGUUUGGAAAGGAUAAACGCUGAAAGCAUCUAAGCGUGAAGCCAACUCUAAGAUGAAUCUUCUCUAAGCUCUCUAGAAGACUACUAGUUUGAUAGGCUGGGUGUGUAAUGGAUGAAAGUCCUUUAGCUGACCAGUACUAAUAGAGCGUUUGGCUUAUCUUU
This 3054-nucleotide ribosomal RNA is filed under the name Campylobacter jejuni. Its description in RNAcentral is "23S ribosomal RNA". It matches the Rfam family "Bacterial large subunit ribosomal RNA". Lineage: Bacteria; Pseudomonadati; Campylobacterota; Epsilonproteobacteria; Campylobacterales; Campylobacteraceae. The record is from RNAcentral. RNAcentral also lists the same sequence under 2 other names.